UACGUAGGGGGCAAGCGUUGUCCGGAAUUAUUGGGCGUAAAGAGCGCGUAGGCGGUCCGGUAAGUCGGCUGUGAAAGUCAAGGGCUCAACCCUUGAAAGCCGGCCGAUACUGUCGGACUAGAGUCCGGAAGAGGCGAGUGGAAUUCCCGGUGUAGCGGUGAAAUGCGCAGAUAUCGGGAGGAACACCAAUGGCGAAGGCGGCUUCCUGGCCUGUUCUUGACGCUGAGGCGCGAAAGCUAGGGGAGCAAACGGG
RNAcentral lists this ribosomal RNA (253 nucleotides) under uncultured bacterium. RNAcentral describes it as "partial 16S ribosomal RNA". It matches the Rfam family "Bacterial small subunit ribosomal RNA", at positions 524 to 776 of the family's 1533-position model. The record is from RNAcentral.